This 484-nucleotide ribosomal RNA is filed under the name uncultured bacterium. Its description in RNAcentral is "partial 16S ribosomal RNA". It matches the Rfam family "Bacterial small subunit ribosomal RNA", at positions 29 to 507 of the family's 1533-position model. The record is from RNAcentral.
AUUGAACGCUGGCGGCAUGCUUUACACAUGCAAGUCGAACGGCAGCGCGGGCUUCGGCCUGGCGGCGAGUGGCGAACGGGUGAGUAAUACAUCGGAACGUGCCCAGUAGUGGGGGAUAGCUCGGCGAAAGCCGGAUUAAUACCGCAUACGACCUGAGGGUGAAGGCGGGGGAUCUUCGGACCUCGCGCUAUUGGAGCGGCCGAUGGCAGAUUAGUUAGUUGGUGGGGUAAAGGCCUACCAAGGCGACGAUCUGUAGCUGGUCUGAGAGGACGACCAGCCACACUGGGACUGAGACACGGCCCAGACUCCUACGGGAGGCAGCAGUGGGGAAUUUUGGACAAUGGGCGAAAGCCUGAUCCAGCAAUGCCGCGUGUGUGAUGAAGGCCUUCGGGUUGUAAAGCACUUUUGGCGGGAACGAAAAGGACUGUGCCAAUACCACGGUUCGAUGACGGUACCCGCAGAAUAAGCACCGGCUAACUACGUG